Long non-coding RNA from Equus caballus (horse), 1829 nucleotides. The record is from Ensembl. Lineage: Eukaryota; Metazoa; Chordata; Mammalia; Perissodactyla; Equidae.
UGGGUGCAGGCACAGAGGUGGUGAGGUUCCGGCUGGGGUUUUGCCAGAGGUCACUGAGCAAAACUUUGAUUAACUUCAAGGUCUCCAGCGAUUAAGAUGAUGAUGAUCGAACACUUACUAUGUGCCAGACCCUGUUCUAAGCUCUUUGCAGCCAUUGAGUCUGCAUCACAGCUCCUCGAGAUCAUUUCAAAAUUCUACACUUGAGGCCCUUUGUGAACUGAGACCUGGGCCAGAAUGGUCUCUUGGCUCCCCUGGUGAAACAGGAUGCCUGCCCCUGCUUCUGAGAGUGUACCUACCACGUGCUCAGGACUGUACUAGAUGCUGAGGAUACAGCUGUGAACAUGGCAGACUGAGUCCCUGCCUGGCAUCAGGGCUCCUGCUCCAAACUCUGUAAAAGGAGACGAGGAAUUGCCGACAAGGGAUCCAUCACGUUUGGCCAAAGUGUGCGGAGGUGGUGAAGAGAGGUGUAGGGGUCCUUCCUCAUUACACCAGGAGCCACUGGGGGUCCAACCCAGGUCCCAUCCUGUGGAAACCCCCUGGAAUCUGCAGGAACCCAGGCUUGAUCAGCAUGAAACUGCAGGGGAACCCAACCAAAUGUCCACAGGAAGACUUCUCCUGGGGACGAUGCAGCACCCGACAUCAUUAAUCUCUUGUGGCCAUUCCACUGCCUCCGUCUUCCAGACCCUGGCUGCAGUUCUGGUCCAGGGGGCCAACACAGCCUCCAGGUGGAAGUCGUUGUCUCAGUAUUAACUCUUGCAAGGAGAGUGGUAGACGGUAGACUCUUCCAGUGCAGGCACCCUGUCCCUCAGGGGAAGGAGCCACUUCUGGAGGUCAGUCCCCUCAGAUGACAUCUUUUUCUUAGACCUUUCCAGAGACAUUUCUCCCUUGUCCACCUUUGAUUUUCUCUAUGACCGUGCCUGUAACUUUUUCUCCUUGGCUGUGACAGGAAUGUUCUUUUGAUUUGGGUAAGCAUAUUCACAGAGUCACUUAUAUGCUUCUAGUUUCUAGCCUCUAGUGCUCAGCUUUAAAUGAUGGCACCAGGCCCCCACAAUGUCUCCGUGAAGCAGCUUGACAGGUGGUACUUUGGAAGGUAAUGGAGGAAUGGUUACCUUCUUCCAAGGUUUUAGGCUGUUGUUGCAUUGAGCGUUCUCCUGUGGACGGGAUGCGUUGUCAUCCUUCAUAGACCUUUGUCCUUCAGUUCCCUUUGCUGAGGUUCUUGAUAAAGUGGAUGUGCUUGGCUCACUCGAAGCCCGCUCUUCCUCUCUAGUGUCUACAGAUACCACUCAAAUUUGAGUCAUGUCUGCUUCCCCUGACUUCUCCGUGGAGGUCCACUCCUUGCCUUUUGCAUUUUCCAUAGUGUGAAAAGAGUUUAGAUUGAUAAAAAUAAAAUUCUUCUGACUUCUGGCUCAAGAUUGCUCUUUUAAACUCUCCUCCCACUUUCUACAACCCAAAGGCACUCUCAAUUCCAUCAUUCUUUAAAUGGUGUAUAUUUAAUAUAUACUUAUUAGAAAAGCAAUAAAUCAGAUGCUUUACCCUAGAUGUCAAUUUUUAAAUCCUUGGAGUGCUAAGGUGGUGACAAAAAGAAUAGUUGGACAGGUAGCAAAGCCCUCACGAAGGGGUUAAAUUUCAGGGGAACUGGCUUUAAGUGGUGAGGCCGCAUUCCCCUAGAAUUCCUUACGGGGUGAGAGGAACACAGCUGAUCCUCACGUGUUUCACUCACUGACUGAAUCUUGCCGGGAUAAGGGUGUGAAUCUGAGCUUGAAUUCAGAGCUUUUGCUGACUUUGUAAAACUCGACUUGUGCCCCAUUCUCUCUCCUGCUGUGUGGCCC